UGUAAUGGGGGUGGUCGGUACGUGUCUUAUCAAUGGUCUUUACUGUCAUGGGCCUGUUCAAGGUCUACCACCUACCCGUCCACCCCCAUUGCAGUCGACUUUCUGUACAUUGUGCUGUUUGGACAACGGCAUUAUCAGUCCGUGUCCAACGUCGCAGCACCUAAAGUGACAGCAAAUAUUAUGUCAUGUCAUUUAGCGUGAACACUGACGAAACAAGGACAUAGUGCUCUAUAUAAAUGGUCAGAGUAGUAUUUCAUGCCAGUGAGCAGCCAUCGAACGAACUCCUACCGCUAUGGUCUCUCUGAUACGUAGCUGGUUGACGCCUAUUAUUCUUCUAGCUGCUUUGUGUAGCGCCUUCGGAACCCUGCCGAAGAAUGGCAACCAAACAAGACGUGUGACACGGGAAACCUACGUAAUUGACGAAGUAGUCAGGUACAUGACGGGUUUCCGGAGGAUGUACGCUGAAGCCUCGGUCCGCGGCGGCGAAGGCCACAUAUGGAGCGGGAAAUUCGAUCUCAGCCGUUACACGAUGGAAAUGUUUGUAAAGGCUAAACGGUACGACAGUGAUGCUUCAAAGUCACCAUCCUUGGGAUUAUUCCUCAGGGUGUGCCCCGGGGGCAACGAUGACGAACUGGCAUGGCCAUUCUCGCCUCCUUACACCCUGACGAUUCACCACCCGAAGUCGUCAGAGAAAGAUAUCUCCUACACUGUCAGAGAACUGAACGAAGAGAAUAUCUACAAGUUUACGAGACCGAGAUGGAGAUGCAAUGGGGGAUGGGGAUUUAGUGAAAUGAUGAGUAUGAGAGACGCGGAGAGAGGUGGGUAUGUAGUGUACGAUUCUGUUAAGGUUUCUGUUCGAAUGCCAUAAGAACACGGAUAAUCGCUGUCUGGUGAACGUUGUUAGACUUACGCACGAUAAGGUACACCACAGUAGAUUGUUGGUUAAUGACGAUAGAAUUUUUUGUCUGUCUUUUUUACUUCCUGUCUACACAUACCUGCGCUAGAAAUUCCACUAUUUUCGAGCUUAAUAAAAUAUGUUGCAUCGCUUCCACGAAACCCA
Ornithodoros turicata is the source of this 1060-nucleotide long non-coding RNA. RefSeq lists it as uncharacterized. The record is from RefSeq and is a predicted model, not a curated record. The transcript has 2 exons. Lineage: Eukaryota; Metazoa; Arthropoda; Arachnida; Ixodida; Argasidae.